AACGAACGCUGGCGGUAUGCUUAACACAUGCAAGUCGAACGAGAAAGGAGCUUUCGGGCUCUGAGUAAAGUGGCGAACGGGUGAGUAACGCGUGAGCAAGCUACCCUGGAGUAGAGGAUAACACUUCGAAAGGAGUGCUAACACUUUACGACAUUAGGGAUGCGCAUGUAUUCUUAAUUAAAGAAGGCCUCUUCAUGAAAGCUUUCGCUUCAGGAUGCGCUCGCGUACCAUUAGCUAGUUGGUAGGGUAACGGCCUACCAAGGUGAGGAUGGUUAGCCGGCCUGAGAGGGUGUCCGGCCACACUGGGAUUGAGAUACGGCCCAGACUCCUACGGGAGGCAGCAGUGGGGAAUAUUGCGCAAUGGGGGAAACCCUGACGCAGCAAUACCGCGUAGACGAUGAAGGCCCUUGGAUUGUAAAGUCUUGUUAGGUGGGAAGAAAUGCCUUAAGGUGAAUAGUCUUAGGGUUUGACGGUACCACCAGAGAAAGCCCCGGCUAACUCCGUGCCAGCAGCCGCGGUAAUACGGAGGGGGCAAGCGUUGUUCGGAAUUACUGGGCGUAAAGGGCGUGUAGGCGGCCUGGAAAGUUAGAUGCGAAAGACCAUGGCUUAACCAUGGAAUUGUAUCUAAAACUCCUGGGCUUGAGUAUAGGAGAGGAAAGUGGAAUUCCCAGUGUAGCGGUGAAAUGCGUAGAUAUUGGGAGGAACACCGGUGGCGAAGGCGGCUUCCUGGACUAAUACUGACGCUGAGGCGCGAAAGCCAGGAGAGCGAACGGGAUUAGAUACCCCGGGUAUCCUGGCUGGUAACGAUGGACACUAUGUGUUAGGAGGUAUCAACUCCUUCUGUGCCG
Molecule: ribosomal RNA, 848 nt
Filed under: uncultured delta proteobacterium
Lineage: Bacteria; Deltaproteobacteria
Description: bacterial SSU rRNA
Rfam family: Bacterial small subunit ribosomal RNA
Source: RNAcentral